UUCGUCGGAUAUAUAGUUUAGCGGCGGACGGGUGAGUAACGCGUGGCAAUCUGCCUACACGACAGGGGAAUAACACUGGGAAACUAGUGCUAAUACCGCAUGAUAUAGUGAAGUGGCAUCACUUUACUAUCAAAGGAGCAAUCCGGUGUGAGAUGAGCCCGCGUCCGAUUAGCUAGUUGGUGAGGUAACGGCCCACCAAGGCGACGAUCGGUAGCCGAACUGAGAGGUUGAUCGGCCACAUUGGGACUGAGACACGGCCCAGACUCCUACGGGAGGCAGCAGUGGGGAAUAUUGCGCAAUGGGGAACCCUUAGACGCAGCAACGCCGCGUGAAGGAUGAAGGUUUUCGGAUUGUAAACUUCUUUGAUUGGGGACGAUAAUGACGGUACCCAAAAACAAGCCACGGCUAACUACGUGCCAGCAGCUGC
This 427-nucleotide ribosomal RNA is filed under the name uncultured bacterium. RNAcentral describes it as "bacterial SSU rRNA". It matches the Rfam family "Bacterial small subunit ribosomal RNA", at positions 76 to 518 of the family's 1533-position model. The record is from RNAcentral.